AAUUUCCCGGAUGCAGGAAGAGCGGCCUGGCUGUUUCCUUUCAGGCUUACCUCAGGGGAGCAGCUUCAUUCAUUUCAGUCCCUCUAUGUGGAUCAGACUAUCUGCAGACAACAGGGAGCCAUCACCUCGACUCCAGGAGACUGUGGCACUGUCAAACAAUCAAGGAAGCCAGUGCCUGGCUCCUACAGACUCCCCGAACCCAGAGGGGCCACAAGUGUGAUGUAUACAACCCCAGUCUGUUGCCACUCUGGGAAGGUCCAUGGUUUGCUGAACCUCUACCUGGAGUGAGGCUUCCUCGGACCACCCUCCAGCUCUCAGCCUGACUCUGAAGGGACUCAGGCCCUCUGCACACUAGGGGCCACAGUCCAUGUAUGAAGAGGUGUCCACAUGACUUCUGGAAAGGCCCAGGCCCUUCCUUUUUCACACAACUCAAGUGGAGAUCUUAGAUGAGUGCUUUCCUUCUCUCAUCCGACGAGGCCCAGUUCAGUGACUGUAACAUCUGAAAACCUGCCCAGAGCCAUUGUGGCCUGACAGCUGUAGAACAGGCUGUUCUGAGGUAUCCUGUGUGUUCUCAAAUUGCCUCCACCUUAGCUCCAGUUAAGAUAUAGACCCUAUGCUCUAUGAACUUUAGUCUUCAUGGUCAAGACCCUCCCUCCCAGCACUCUCUUUCUGCUGAACUGGAAGAGUGCCUCAUUCCUACUGGGCUGUGCC
Molecule: long non-coding RNA, 711 nt
Organism: Mus musculus (house mouse)
Lineage: Eukaryota; Metazoa; Chordata; Mammalia; Rodentia; Muridae
Product: predicted gene, 35790
Exons: 3
Source: RefSeq, a predicted model, not a curated record